UUAAUCCAUACAACGUAUUUCUCUCUACCGCCGAUCUUGUGUGUAUAUAGCGAGGACGUUACGGAGAGACGACGAAGUCCCUAUUGUGUCCAAAACGAGCCCCGGAUUCAUGGGCCAGCGAGUCUACUUGCGGAGGCACUCCCGAUUCUUCGCUGUCACGCGUAAAAUACACUCUUCUUUUUCGACUCUUACAGGUGAUUCUGGCUGUCAAUGUAUGUUCAAGGAUUUUCGAGGCGAUCGAGAUUUACGAGACGCCUGCAGUUUUCUGGACUAUUUUAUUUAUUUAUAAGCCAGGAAUCUCAAGUCAGACGAAGAUUUUUCCAAAUGUAAUAAAUGCAUUGUGAAAAUAAAGAAAUUAAUACUUCACUUCAAA
Long non-coding RNA from Nasonia vitripennis (jewel wasp), 373 nucleotides. RefSeq lists it as uncharacterized. The transcript has 2 exons. Lineage: Eukaryota; Metazoa; Arthropoda; Insecta; Hymenoptera; Pteromalidae. The record is from RefSeq and is a predicted model, not a curated record.